Molecule: transfer RNA, 75 nt
Filed under: Planctomycetaceae bacterium
Lineage: Bacteria; Pseudomonadati; Planctomycetota; Planctomycetia; Planctomycetales; Planctomycetaceae
Also listed under: 1 other name
Description: tRNA-Thr
Rfam family: tRNA
About the family: Transfer RNA (tRNA) molecules are approximately 80 nucleotides in length.
Source: RNAcentral
GCUGGCGUAGCUCAACGGUAGAGCUCCCGCUUUGUAAGCGGAUGGUUGCGAGUUCGAAUCUCGCCGCCAGCUCCA